UAGGGAAUCUUCGGCAAUGGGGGCAACCCUGACCGAGCAACGCCGCGUGAGUGAAGAAGGUUUUCGGAUCGUAAAGCUCUGUUGUAAGAGAAGAACGUGUGUGAGAGUGGAAAGUUCACACAGUGACGGUAACUUACCAGAAAGGGACGGCUAACUACGUGCCAGCAGCCGCGGUAAUACGUAGGUCCCGAGGGUUGUCCGGAUGUAUUGGGCGUAAAGCGAGCGCAGGCGGUUUAAUAAGUCUGAAGUUAAAGGCAGUGGCUUAACCAUUGGUCGCUUUGGAAACUGUUAAACUUGAGUGCAGAAGGGGAGAGUGGAAUUCCAUGUGUAGCGGUGAAAUGCGUAUAUAUAUGGAGGAACACCGGUGGCGAAAGCGGCUCUCUGGUCUGUAACUGACGCUGAGGCUCGAAAGCGUGGGGAGCGAACAGG
This 429-nucleotide ribosomal RNA is filed under the name bacterium. RNAcentral describes it as "partial 16S ribosomal RNA". It matches the Rfam family "Bacterial small subunit ribosomal RNA", at positions 355 to 776 of the family's 1533-position model. The record is from RNAcentral.